UAGUGACCUGAGCAGAAACCAAUUUCAGAUGCUUAACCGACUAAGCCACCCAGGCGCCCCUGAUAUGCCCACGUAUUGAUUUGCUUUUAUAGCAUUUCACUUUUUUAGCUCCUGGUUUAUACUAGCCCUGAAAGAGAGUUAGAAAAGACUUUUUUUUUUUUUUUUUUACAGUCUCAUAAGCUCCUUCAAGGGAUAACUGAUAUGUCAGUAAGACAACUGCAGGCAGGGACCAAAUGGGGUAGAGUAGCUCUGUUAAUAGUGUGAGUGGGACUAGAAUUUAUAGCCACUUCCCCACCCCUAUAAUCAGAUAUGCUCUUUUACAGAAGAUGAGAGGAGUCCUCUACUGAUGUAAUAACCGAACAACACAUCUUCAGAUGAGACUAACUCCUGUUUCCUCACUGAAGUCACUAAGUUGGCCUGCAGCAAUUUCCACUGACUGCAUGACCCGACUUUCUCGAGUGGUGGCACUGUCAACAUUCCCACGGCAGACAAGGAGAUAAGACAACUACAAACUUUGCUAUCCACAUGUGAACUGAAUCAGACAUGCAGUGACCAAUCACCAAUGAUUUUGAGAGAAGAAACAUGUUUAGUCACUGACCAUGACGUUCAUCUUUAUUUAUGUGGUGACUCAUGGAUUGAAGAGCUAGGGGUGAAAUUUGUAUUUUGUACAAUUACAGUUAAUAUACCAUAGUAAUUGAAAUUCGAACCCAGUUUAGGGGAUUGGUGUUAACUAAACCACAGUAACUGAAAUUCGUGCAUGUUGGAACCAUUCAAAGAAAGGAUUGUCUGUAUACGUUUAUACGUUUUGUUAAUCACCUCCUUAAAUUUGUCUGUUACAAAAAUGUACAUAAAUUAAAAUUUAAACUAUUUGAUGUCUUUGAUUCUUAAGUAGUAAAAAGAAUUCUGGGCUAAUUAACAUUACAAUUACUAUAAUUGAUCAAACAACAUAAAUAUGUCUAAAUUAAAAGUAAAAAUUUUAUUUCAGUCUGAUGAAUUGGGUGAUUUUCUUUUCACUUAAGCCAUACGUUUUUGGCUAAGUAUUGCUUACUGUUGGAAUGAGACAGAGUUUAGGUCAAUGAUAUUCCUGUUUUUCAUUUCUGUCGAUAAAAUCCAUGAAAAAAUGUGUUCACAUAGACAAAUUGAUGGGAAUGAGAGUAAUUUUACUAUAGCAGUACCACUCAUUUUGUGGAUUCUUUCCAAGUUAUUUGUCAAAAAUGCUCUUUUACUUUUGCUAAAAACAAGGAAUUUUAAAACUUCUUACUUACAAAAGUAUUUGUUACCCAGUCAUUAGACUGUUAACAUUCUUAUUUUCUAAAAAGCGUACCAAACAAGCUUUGCCAGAUGUUAUCAGCUCCAAAGUGGCUAUAAUAUGUCUGUGCUAGUUGUGAACUAUACAACUCCUAAGGACAGUGUUCAUAUUGUACUCUAUUUGAGGGGAACGAGCUGGAAUUGGGCAGUGCACAACUUACACAGCUGUAUGUGGUGGCCUUAUAAAUAUCCUUACUAUUUUAUACUUAGCAGCAACUUAUUUAAUCCAGUAUGUAAAUGAAAUAUACAAAAGUUCCUAUAUAUAUCCGUCAUUUACACACAUUGCUAAUGACAUCACAAUCAAACAGUUGAUGACAUA
Molecule: RNA transcript, 1627 nt
Organism: Mustela erminea (ermine)
Lineage: Eukaryota; Metazoa; Chordata; Mammalia; Carnivora; Mustelidae
Gene: PHOSPHO2
Gene name: phosphatase, orphan 2
Exons: 3
Source: RefSeq, a predicted model, not a curated record